UGGGGAAUUUUGGACAAUGGGCGAAAGCCUGAUCCAGCAAUGCCGCGUGUGUGAAGAAGGCCUUCGGGUUGUAAAGCACUUUUGUCCGGAAAGAAAUCCUUGGCUCUAAUACAGUCGGGGGAUGACGGUACCGGAAGAAUAAGCACCGGCUAACUACGUGCCAGCAGCCGCGGUAAUACGUAGGGUGCAAGCGUUAAUCGGAAUUACUGGGCGUAAAGCGUGCGCAGGCGGUUUGCUAAGACCGAUGUGAAAUCCCGGCUCAACCUGGAACUGCAUUGGUGACUGGCAGGCUAGAGUAUGGCAGAGGGGGUGAGAAUUCCACGUGUAGCAGUGAAAAUGCGUAGAGAUGUGGAGGAAUACCGAUGGCGAAGGCAGCCCCCUCGGCAAGUCAACUGACGCUCAUGCACGAAAAGCGUGGGGGAGCAAAACAGGAUUAGAUACCCUGGUAGUCCACGCCCUAAAACGAUGUCAACUAGUUGUUGGGGAUUCAUUUUCCUUAGUAAACGUAGCUAACGCGUGAAGUUGACCGCCUGGGGAGUAACGGUCGCAAAGAUUAAAAACUUAAAAUGAAAUUGACGGGGGUCAUAGCUGUUUCCU
Molecule: ribosomal RNA, 597 nt
Filed under: uncultured bacterium
Lineage: Bacteria
Description: partial 16S ribosomal RNA
Rfam family: Bacterial small subunit ribosomal RNA
Source: RNAcentral